AUCCAGUUGACGAGUCCCAAAUGAGAUGAAGCGCUCGUCAAACUGGAU
RNAcentral lists this non-coding RNA (48 nucleotides) under Schistosoma mansoni. Lineage: Eukaryota; Metazoa; Platyhelminthes; Trematoda; Strigeidida; Schistosomatidae. The record is from RNAcentral.